RNAcentral lists this ribosomal RNA (604 nucleotides) under uncultured actinomycete. Its description in RNAcentral is "bacterial SSU rRNA". It matches the Rfam family "Bacterial small subunit ribosomal RNA", at positions 252 to 866 of the family's 1533-position model. Lineage: Bacteria; Bacillati; Actinomycetota; Actinomycetes; Actinomycetales. The record is from RNAcentral.
GUGAGGUAAUGGCUCACCAAGGCGACGACGGGUAGCCGGCCUGAGAGGGUGACCGGCCACACUGGGACUGAGACACGGCCCAGACUCCUACGGGAGGCAGCAGUGGGGAAUAUUGCACAAUGGGCGAAAGCCUGAUGCAGCGACGCCGCGUGAGGGAUGACGGCCUUCGGGUUGUAAACCUCUUUCAGUAGGGAAGAAGCGAAAGUGACGGUACCUGCAGAAGAAGCACCGGCUAACUACGUGCCAGCAGCCGCGGUAAUACGUAGGGUGCGAGCGUUAUCCGGAAUUAUUGGGCGUAAAGAGCUCGUAGGCGGUUUGUCGCGUCUGUCGUGAAAGUCCGGGGCUUAACCCCGGAUCUGCGGUGGGUACGGGCAGACUAGAGUGCAGUAGGGGAGACUGGAAUUCCUGGUGUAGCGGUGGAAUGCGCAGAUAUCAGGAGGAACACCGAUGGCGAAGGCAGGUCUCUGGGCUGUAACUGACGCUGAGGAGCGAAAGCAUGGGGAGCGAACAGGAUUAGAUACCCUGGUAGUCCAUGCCGUAAACGUUGGGCACUAGGUGUGGGGACCAUUCCACGGUUUCCGCGCCGCAGCUAACGCAUUAAGUG